Molecule: non-coding RNA, 75 nt
Organism: Phrynosoma platyrhinos (Desert horned lizard)
Lineage: Eukaryota; Metazoa; Chordata; Lepidosauria; Squamata; Phrynosomatidae
Source: the annotation of a GenBank genome assembly
GACAGCGUGGUGUAGUGGUUGGUGCGUUGGACGACGACGACUCUGGAGACCAGGGUUCGAAUCCUCGCUCUGUUA